This 83-nucleotide transfer RNA is filed under the name Virgisporangium ochraceum. RNAcentral's name for it is "tRNA-Pro". Lineage: Bacteria; Bacillati; Actinomycetota; Actinomycetes; Micromonosporales; Micromonosporaceae. The record is from RNAcentral.
UCAGGCCUGGGCGGCCGUCGCCGCGGCUUUGGCGGCCGCCCGGGCCCGUGACCGCACCACCCGCUCGGUCCGGAUGGCCCGGC